CCAAAACAAAUCAAUUUUCCUUCGUACUCCCUCUGUCUUAUUUAAAAAAUAUACGAUUAAUAUUUUUGUUUUUAUUAGAUGAUAAAACAUGAAUAAUACUUUGUGUGACUAAUUUUUUUUAAAUUUCUUGAAAAUUUUUCAAAUAAGACAGAUAGUCAACUUGACACGAAAACCGAAAGGUUGCCUUUUUC
This 191-nucleotide microRNA precursor is filed under the name Oryza brachyantha (malo sina). RNAcentral's name for it is "MIR812 microRNA precursor family". It matches the Rfam family "MIR812 microRNA precursor family". The record is from Rfam by way of RNAcentral. Lineage: Eukaryota; Viridiplantae; Streptophyta; Magnoliopsida; Poales; Poaceae.